CGAGGGGUCCUAGCGUUGUCGGAAUCACUGGGCGUAAAGCGUUUGUAGGCGGCUUUGCAAGUCGGGUGUGAAAUCCCACGGCUCAACCGUGGAAGUGCAUUCGAAACUGCAGAGCUUGAAUAUGGAAGAGGGCAGUAGAAUUCCUGGUGUAGUGGUGAAAUACGUAGAUAUCAGGAGGAAUACCGGUGGCGAAGGCGGCUGCCUGGUCCAAUAUUGACGCUGAGAAACGAAAGUGCGGGGAUCAAACAGGAUUAGAUACCCUGGUAGUCCGCACCGUAAACGAUGGAUACUUGGUGUUGGAGGUAUCGACCCCUUCAGUGCCGAAGCUAACGCGUUAAGUAUCCCGCCUGGGAAGUACGGUCGCAAGAUUA
Molecule: ribosomal RNA, 371 nt
Filed under: uncultured organism
Description: bacterial SSU rRNA
Rfam family: Bacterial small subunit ribosomal RNA
Source: RNAcentral